This 256-nucleotide ribosomal RNA is filed under the name Salmonella enterica subsp. enterica serovar Indiana. Its description in RNAcentral is "partial 23S ribosomal RNA". It matches the Rfam family "Bacterial large subunit ribosomal RNA", at positions 1088 to 1343 of the family's 2925-position model. Lineage: Bacteria; Pseudomonadati; Pseudomonadota; Gammaproteobacteria; Enterobacterales; Enterobacteriaceae. The record is from RNAcentral.
GACAGCCAGGAUGUUGGCUUAGAAGCAGCCAUCAUUUAAAGAAAGCGUAAUAGCUCACUGGUCGAGUCGGCCUGCGCGGAAGAUGUAACGGGGCUAAACCAUGCACCGAAGCUGCGGCAGCGACACUGUGUGUUGUUGGGUAGGGGAGCGUUCUGUAAGCCUGCGAAGGUGGCCUGUGAGGGUUGCUGGAGGUAUCAGAAGUGCGAAUGCUGACAUAAGUAACGAUAAAGCGGGUGAAAAGCCCGCUCGCCGGAAG